RNAcentral lists this non-coding RNA (31 nucleotides) under Rattus norvegicus (Norway rat). Lineage: Eukaryota; Metazoa; Chordata; Mammalia; Rodentia; Muridae. The record is from RNAcentral.
UGAAUGGAUGAUUUAAAAGCAACUUUCAAAG